UCAGAAAUACUUGCUGGCAAUGAAAAAAUAAGAUGCUGCCCAGGCCACCUCUGCUGGGAAAGCUUUAUGUCGUGCAAGAAAGAUUCAGAUUUGGCAGAGAAAUGGUGAGAAUAUCACCUGCCCAGAGGACUUGGCAGAGGAACUUUCCUGCACUUGUCUCCAGGAAAGGGGUUUUGAAACGCGACAAGUCUGGUGGAUUCGGUAACACUAAGGCAAAACUGGGAAGUGAAGAGACAGGAGAAGCAAGUUUCAUUAACAGAGAGA
Tyto alba (common barn owl) is the source of this 264-nucleotide long non-coding RNA. RefSeq lists it as uncharacterized. NCBI's taxonomy places the organism in Eukaryota, Metazoa, Chordata, Aves, Strigiformes, Tytonidae. The transcript is spliced from 3 exons. The record is from RefSeq and is a predicted model, not a curated record.